UUAAAAAGCUCGUAGUUGAACCUUGGACCUGGCUGAUCUGUCCUCCUAAUCGAGCGCACGGAUUCGGUCGGGUCUUUCCUUCUGGGGAGCCCUAUGCCCUUCACUGGGUGUAGUGGGGAACCAGGACUUUUACCUUGAAAAAAUUAGAGUGUUCAAAGCAGGCCUUUGCUCGAAUACAUUAGCAUGGAAUAAUAGAAAAGGACAUCGGUUCUAUUUUGUUGGUUUCUAGGACCGCUGUAAUGAUUAAUAGGGAUAGUCGGGGG
RNAcentral lists this ribosomal RNA (263 nucleotides) under uncultured Ascomycota. Its description in RNAcentral is "partial 18S ribosomal RNA". It matches the Rfam family "Eukaryotic small subunit ribosomal RNA", at positions 619 to 888 of the family's 1831-position model. Lineage: Eukaryota; Fungi; Ascomycota. The record is from RNAcentral.